RNAcentral lists this ribosomal RNA (254 nucleotides) under uncultured bacterium. RNAcentral describes it as "partial 16S ribosomal RNA". It matches the Rfam family "Bacterial small subunit ribosomal RNA", at positions 524 to 776 of the family's 1533-position model. The record is from RNAcentral.
UACGGGGGGAGCAAGCGUUGUUCGGAUUUACUGGGCGUAAAGGGCGCGUAGGCGGCCACCGCAAGUCAGUUGUGAAAUCUCUGGGCUUAACCCAGAACGGUCAGCUGAUACUGCGGGGCUAGAGUGCAGAAGGGGCAACUGGAAUUCUCGGUGUAGCGGUGAAAUGCGUAGAUAUCGAGAGGAACACCUGCGGCGAAGGCGGGUUGCUGGGCUGACACUGACGCUGAGGAGCGAAAGCGUGGGGAGCGAACAGG